AAACAUUAUCCACCUGACCGUUUGCUCUUUUUCCGUUUGCUUUUUUCCGGUUCAGGCCUUUCUUGCAUUGCUUUUUCCUUUUCUUUUCUUUUCUUUCUUUCUUUUUAUUUUUUAUUUUUUUUAGCAGGAUCGACCUCGAUUCCUCUUUCGUUCACAAUAAGCCUCGGCAACAUACCGGACAACACUCCACAAGUGUACUGAUUCGGACUCAACCUCAGUCUGAGUUGUCUCAACCGAUCAAACAACUUGGCCAGAUCCACCAGAUGCCCCUCUUCUGAUUGGGACUUUGCUAUCAUGUCAUCAACAUAGC
Molecule: long non-coding RNA, 310 nt
Filed under: Lathyrus oleraceus (garden pea)
Lineage: Eukaryota; Viridiplantae; Streptophyta; Magnoliopsida; Fabales; Fabaceae
Description: Pisum sativum (pea) long non-coding RNA (PSAT_LNC023783)
Source: RNAcentral